RNAcentral lists this ribosomal RNA (492 nucleotides) under uncultured bacterium. RNAcentral describes it as "partial 16S ribosomal RNA". It matches the Rfam family "Bacterial small subunit ribosomal RNA", at positions 30 to 507 of the family's 1533-position model. The record is from RNAcentral.
AUUGAACGCUGGCGGCAUGCUUUACACAUGCAAGUCGAACGGUAACAGGCCUUCGGGUGCUGACGAGUGGCGAACGGGUGAGUAAUGCAUCGGAACGUGCCCAGAGGUGGGGGAUAACGCAGCGAAAGCUGUGCUAAUACCGCAUGUGAUCUGAGGAUGAAAGCGGGGGACCAGGCAGCAAUGUUUGGCCUCGCGCCUUUGGAGCGGCCGAUGUCAGAUUAGGUAGUUGGUGGGGUAAAGGCCUACCAAGCCGACGAUCUGUAGCUGGUCUGAGAGGACGACCAGCCACACUGGGACUGAGACACGGCCCAGACUCCUACGGGAGGCAGCAGUGGGGAAUUUUGGACAAUGGGCGCAAGCCUGAUCCAGCAAUGCCGCGUGCGGGAAGAAGGCCUUCGGGUUGUAAACCGCUUUUGUACGGAACGAAAGGGCUCUGGCUAAUACCUGGGGCUGAUGACGGUACCGUAAGAAUAAGCACCGGCUAACUACGUG